RNAcentral lists this ribosomal RNA (560 nucleotides) under uncultured bacterium. RNAcentral describes it as "partial 16S ribosomal RNA". It matches the Rfam family "Bacterial small subunit ribosomal RNA", at positions 355 to 907 of the family's 1533-position model. The record is from RNAcentral.
UGGGGAAUUUUGGACAAUGGGGGCAACCCUGAUCCAGCAAUGCCGCGUGUGUGAAGAAGGCCUUCGGGUUGUAAAGCACUUUUGUCCGGAAAGAAAACGCCGUGGUUAAUACCCGUGGCGGAUGACGGUACCGGAAGAAUAAGCACCGGCUAACUACGUGCCAGCAGCCGCGGUAAUACGUAGGGUGCAAGCGUUAAUCGGAAUUACUGGGCGUAAAGCGUGCGCAGGCGGUCCGCUAAGACAGAUGUGAAAUCCCCGGGCUUAACCUGGGAACUGCAUUUGUGACUGGCGGGCUAGAGUAUGGCAGAGGGGGGUAGAAUUCCACGUGUAGCAGUGAAAUGCGUAGAGAUGUGGAGGAAUACCGAUGGCGAAGGCAGCCCCCUGGGCCAAUACUGACGCUCAUGCACGAAAGCGUGGGGAGCAAACAGGAUUAGAUACCCUGGUAGUCCACGCCCUAAACGAUGUCAACUAGUUGUCGGGUCUUCAUUGACUUGGUAACGUAGCUAACGCGUGAAGUUGACCGCCUGGGGAGUACGGUCGCAAGAUUAAAAACUUAAAGG